This 600-nucleotide ribosomal RNA is filed under the name uncultured bacterium. RNAcentral describes it as "bacterial SSU rRNA". It matches the Rfam family "Bacterial small subunit ribosomal RNA", at positions 728 to 1333 of the family's 1533-position model. The record is from RNAcentral.
GCUGGGCUUUAACUGACGCUGAGGCACGAAAGCGUGGGUAGCAAACAGGAUUAGAUACCCUGGUAGUCCACGCUGUAAACGAUGAUUACUAGGUGUGGGGGGUCUGACCCCUUCCGUGCCGGAGUUAACACAAUAAGUAAUCCACCUGGGGAGUACGGCCGCAAGGUUGAAACUCAAAGGAAUUGACGGGGGCCCGCACAAGAAGUGGAGUAUGUGGUUUAAUUCGAAGCAACGCGAAGAACCUUACCAGGUCUUGACAUCCUAAGGAUCCUGUAGAGAUACGGGAGUGCCCUUCGGGGAAUUUAGAGACAGGUGGUGCAUGGUUGUCGUCAGCUCGUGUCGUGAGAUGUUGGGUUAAGUCCCGCAACGAGCGCAACCCUUACUGUUAGUUGCUACGCAAGAGCACUCUAGCAGGACUGCCGUUGACAAAACGGAGGAAGGUGGGGAUGACGUCAAAUCAUCAUGCCCCUUAUGACCUGGGCUACACACGUACUACAAUGGCCGUCAACAGAGGGCAGCAAAAUGGUGACAUGGAGCAAAUCCCUAAAAACGGUCUCAGUUCCACUGCAGGCUGCAACCCGCCUGCACGAAGAUGGAAUU